CUUUUGUGAACUCAUGAAUGUGAAAGUCUUUUCUAGUUUAUAAAACACUAUAUGAAUGUGGGAAAAUCUUUACUUGACCUUAGGGCAUGGAGGGUGGAGCACAUUUUGUCUGCUGUUUGGACUUAGAUGCUGAUUAGCAGUUAUAAAGUGGCCCAGACACCUAGCCAUUCUUUAGUAAGAGUGAAGAUAGCAUUUUAAGCCUUGCUUGUGUGCCCAGCAUCUUGCUGAACACUUUCUAGUGAUUCUCUCCUUUAAUCCUCACAAAGAUCUCACAGUUGUCCUCCAUUUUACGGAGAAGAAUACCGAGGCUCACAGAGGUUAAACGAUGUGCAGAGGCCACCUGUAGUGAUGGUGCUGAGUCAAGCCUGUCAACCAUUGUGCUCCUUAGCGACCAAGGCUGCUUUGACAGGCUGCCAGCUUGUCAGUGGUUUGCAGCCCCCGAGAUAUUGUUUUCCUACUUCCCAUGCAGUUGGGGUGCCCCGCCAAGUGCCAGGUUCUCUUUGGAGUCCAUCUGUGCCUUGUCACCCCAAGGAGGGCCUUGAGCAUCACGCUGUGACAUUCCAAAACACAUGUGGUAUCUCUACAACCUUUCAUUCUCAUUGGGAUUUGCCUUGCCAUUUAAACACCAUCAUUUUUUGAGGACUAUCUAGAAAAGGUUGCCUAACCCUCACAGGGAACAUAGAGUCCAAUAUCUUCUGGUUUUUUCUUUUGCAAGAUUUUUUUAAAUGGUUGUGCUAUCAUUUGUCAUCAUCAGAAAAUGCUUGCUGUAACAAGCGUUUAUCUGCACAUUAUGCUGCAGUGAAUGCUCUACUGAUCAAAUUAAACAGAUAAGAUCCCUACCCUUGUAGAAACUACAACUUAAUACACUCUAAGACUUGACAAAUUACUUAGUAUUUAUUUUCCAACUGCUUUAUCUCUGUAAAAUGAUACGCUGAAUUAUUAUAAGCUAAUUGUUGUAGAAAGAACUUUCCCCUUAACUUAUGUAAACAGUCUGGUUUUAAAAAAAUUAAUAAUUGUGGCCUAGUAAGCUCAAAACUUUGCCUUCCCCAAGACUGAGGAACCUCUGUCCUGUUCACCACUGUAUAUUCAGCACCAGGCAAUCUCUUUUAUUUUUUGUUUGUUUUGAAAAAUUAAUACAUAUACAUGGUAAGACAUUCCACAAUACAAAAGGGUAUACAAUAAAUGGUAAGCUUCCCCAUGGAGGUCAGCCUCUAGUCCCCUCUCCAGAGUUAAUCACUGUUAUCUAUAUGUUGUGUAUCCUUUCAGAGCAAUUCUAUGCAUUUACAAGUUUAUAAAUAUGUAUAUUUAUAUAUCUAUUUUUAAUACAAAUAGUAGAAUUCUAUACACAGUGUUCUGAAGCUUGCUUUCUUAUAUAGUAUUUUGGAGAUUAUUCCAAAUUCAUACAUUGGGUCAGAGUAAUUCUUUAAAAGUUCCUUGCAUAUAACAGUGAUUCAAAAAUUAUAUGGAUGAAUGAGUGAAUGCCUGCAUGAAUGAAUGAAUCUGAUUCAAUUGGUAGCUACUGCUGUUCUCUUGGGGUCUGAUCUGAUCAAGACAGCACCUUUUAGAUUCUAGAAUGUGUUCUGACUAAGGGGUUCAGGAUACUAUUCACCUUCUCCAACAGAUGCCACAGGAGCCUUAGGAACUGGGCACAGGAAGUCUUGGGCCCCUGGAGGGAAAAGUUGAGACCCAGGUCCUACUUAAAAUGCUUGGUUUUAAGGUUCCUACUUAAAAUGCUUUUUUCUUUAUUGGAAAAUGAUGUAACAUUUUAGAGAAAAUUAAA
Macaca fascicularis (crab-eating macaque) is the source of this 1780-nucleotide long non-coding RNA. The record is from Ensembl. Lineage: Eukaryota; Metazoa; Chordata; Mammalia; Primates; Cercopithecidae.